AAAAAAAAAUGUAAAAAGAAAAAAAUAAACAGUAGUAACUUCUCCAGGAAAACAAAUAAAUAAAAUAAAUAUCUAAAAAGAUAAAGAAGAAUACUUGAAUAAAUCAAAUAGUUAAGUAAAUUCAAUAGUGCAUUAAGUUGAGCGAUCACUCGCAUGGCAUGUAAAUCCAUCUGUACCUAAUACCACCAACUACCCACUUCCUAUUUCCACAAAGGACUCUGGCGUUCCUUAAGGAACCCACACAGUUAAGCGUUAGAUCUACUCAAGUGUCGGCAUGCAACACCUUUCCAUCCGCCAGCACCCUGAUGCAAAAUCUGGAAGAAGUUAAUUUUCUUAUAAAGUAACCGCAGCAUUAUCCAACUAAUCUCAACUGAUGAGUUCACAAAGCCUGGUUGCAAAGUGCCCCUCGAACUUUCUACCCUGCCCAAAUCCGUAGAUUCCUAACUUGGCACAGCGCUCAGGAACUACCUUCUGCACAGCCCUGCAGUGAACAACUGCAUUCAGUAAAUAUUUGCAUCCGUGGCACUACAGAUGCUAAUGACCGUGUUGAACGUACACAUGUAAACACACACCCUCACCGUGUAACAGUCUGACAAUAAAUGGCAAAAACAGACACAGCAGCCUCCCAGGUAAGGCAGAUAGCCACCACCGGCGCGUUACGCCCGGACAAGGUCUCUCUCUCUCUUUCUUUUUCUUUCUGUUUCUCUAGAUUUUGAACGCGCGUUGUGUGUGUGUGUGUGUGAGUGAGUGUGAGUGUGAGCGCGCGCGCGUGUGCAGGUUACCGGAGAGGGAGAUCCGUUCUUGCGGAGGGGCCCUCGGAAGACUCCUUUGAUGCCCCGGUAGUGCCCAUUGCUGAGAUGUCUCGAACUGAUGACCAGGUAACAAGCCAUGUGGGUCCGAGCGGGGCGCGCUGCGUGUCCCUCCUGGCCGGCCCCGGCCGCGGGAGCGCGGGAGCGCGGGCCGCUUUCUCAGCAGCGACGGUGACUGCCACCUCCCGAGGAGCAGCGGCCGGCAGCGAGCAGGGGACGCGGCGGCCGCGCGCCCCCGCUCCUCGCCCCGCGCGGGGCUCCGGCUGCCGGCGGCGGAGGGGGCGGCGGCGGCCACGCGGCUCUUCGGGCACCCGGCGAGCCAGUCCACAUGCUGCUCUGGCGACGUGGCUGCUCAGCCGCGGGCCGGCGGUGCCAUUGGUCUCAGGACAACUUCCUGGGUCCGCGGGGGAAGCCGGAGCUCCCCGCCCCGUCGCUGCCCCGCCCCGCCGUCGCCCCCGGCGCGCCCCCGGGGGGCUCGGGCUCGGGCUCGGGCUGCGGGCUGCGGGCUGCGCGGGAGGUGGCGGCGGCCGGGGGCAGCGGCGCGAGCCGGGGGCGCGGCCACCUGUGAGCCCGAGCGGUUCGCGCCCCCGCGCCGGGCGGCCGCGCGCGGCGGGGGCGGGGGCGGGGGCGGCGGAGGCGGCGGCGGGACGCGCGGCGCGGGCAUCCCGGGCCCCCCGCCCCAGCGCCCCCCGCCCCAGCGCCCCGCCCGCUCGCCCGCCGCGCCCGAGGGCCGGCUUAGCCGCGAGCGUGGGGGCGGGGGGGGGGCCGGGGCGACUGCGGAGGGCGGCGGUGGGCGACACGGCGGGGAGAGCGGCGCCUCCACCCGGCGCUGCCCGCCCGCCUGCAGCGCGCUCCGGCGCCCGGGCUGCCCGCGGCGGGGUCGGCAGGAGCGACAGCCCCCGGGCCGGCGGCGCGGACGAGCUGCGCAGCCCCGGUGAGGCGGGCGAUGGACGCAGGAGGACAGAAGUUCUAGAGGCCGAGAUUUGGGAUUUGCGUGGGACGUCCGAGCGCCCACGGCCCUCCCCGUCAGCCCUCGGUGGGGCUUCUUAA
Molecule: long non-coding RNA, 1859 nt
Filed under: Canis lupus familiaris (dog)
Lineage: Eukaryota; Metazoa; Chordata; Mammalia; Carnivora; Canidae
Description: lncRNA (ENSCAFG00000051403.1)
Source: RNAcentral